GAGUUUGAUCAUGGCUCAGAACGAACGCUGGCGGCGUGCCUAACACAUGCAAGUCGAACGAGAAAGCUCCCUUCGGGGGGUGAGUAAAGUGGCAGACGGGUGAGUAACACGUGGGUAACCUGCCCGACGGUGGGGGAUAACUCCUCGAAAGAGGGGCUAAUACCGCAUGACAUCGAACGCUCCUCGGGGCGUCCGAUCAAAGCUUGCCUCUUCAUGAAAGCAGGCGCCGACGGAGGGGCCCGCGCCCCAUUAGCUUGUUGGUGAGGUAACGGCUCACCAAGGCGACGAUGGGUAGCCGGCCUGAGAGGGUGAUCGGCCACACUGGAACUGAGACACGGUCCAGACUCCUACGGGAGGCAGCAGUGAGGAAUUUUGCGCAAUGGGCGAAAGCCUGACGCAGCGACGCCGCGUGGAGGACGAAGGUCUCCGGAUCGUAAACUCCUGUCAAGAGGGACGAAUCCCGGACGGAUGAAUAAGCCGGCCGGUUGACGGUACCUCUGGAGGAAGCCCCGGCUAACUCCGUGCCAGCAGCCGCGGUAAUACGGAGGGGGCCAGCGUUGUUCGGAAUUAUUGGGCGUAAAGGGCGCGUAGCGGCUAGGCAAGUUGGAGGUGAAAG
RNAcentral lists this ribosomal RNA (616 nucleotides) under uncultured Holophagales bacterium. RNAcentral describes it as "bacterial SSU rRNA". It matches the Rfam family "Bacterial small subunit ribosomal RNA", at positions 9 to 600 of the family's 1533-position model. Lineage: Bacteria; Pseudomonadati; Acidobacteriota; Holophagae; Holophagales. The record is from RNAcentral.